Molecule: long non-coding RNA, 1308 nt
Filed under: Oryctolagus cuniculus (rabbit)
Lineage: Eukaryota; Metazoa; Chordata; Mammalia; Lagomorpha; Leporidae
Description: lncRNA (ENSOCUG00000033873.1)
Source: RNAcentral
AUGUGGACUUACUGCAAGUGUCCCCGGGCGCUCGGUGUGCGACGCUGGGGUUGGGAGCUGCCUGCAGCUGGGUUAGGGCUGCUUUGCGUGGGGGGCAGCCUCUGGGGCUACAGGGAGGGCAGCAGCCGGCGGGCGGGGCCACUCUGCCCCCUGCGUGGACAGAGGCACGGGGUUGGGUGGUGGUCCCAGGACCUUGGGCUCCUGGCUGCUGCGUGUUGGUGGCUGCACCAAGCUGCUGAGCUCUGGUUGGGGUCAGACAUUGACCCCGGGCAGGUACAAGAGUGUCAGGCACUAAAGAAGUCAGUUCCUCUGCCUGCUCCUGGAGCAGGGCCCAGAGACCCAAGGGGUGGGAGCUGCACCCAGGUAUUCACCUUGGGGGAGUCCCACUGCGAAGCACCCUGGUUCUGCCCUCAGAACAUGGCCAGGACUGCCUGUGGAGCCAGUGCAGACCUCCCCGCCCCGCCCAGGGCCUCCCGGGGGGCAGAGGGAGAACAGGUGCCGAGGCCGGAAGAUCAGGGAGCGAAGCAGAGAGAUGCAGUUCAGUGUCUGCCUCUGCCCGGUGCUGGAGUGGGCCACGUCCAGAACCUCCUCUGUGUCUCCUGCACCAGAGGGGGGUCACUGUCAUCUUCAGACCCCCCGUUGCCUCCCUCAGCCCAGCUCCGAGGGUCCCCUCCAUCAUCCGUAGCCCUGGGGGACCCCCUGCUCUGCCCUGUGCCUCACCCUGCAGAUGAUGCGAGAGAGAGAGUGGGGUUCACCCCCCAGCCCAGCCCACGCAGCUGUAGGCCGGCCUCCCUGCCUCCCGCCCCCCCAGGAGCCGCUUCAUGCCGCUGGAGCUCAGACCGCGUGCAAGGGAGGCAGGCAGGGGCGAGUGACCACGCCCUGGCCCAGAGAAGGCCCCCACCCUGGUGCAGAGCCGCCUGCUCCGGGCUUGGAGUUGCAGCUCGGAGUGGGGGUGGGGGCACCUACAGACCUCCACCUGCGCCGGUGCUGCUGGAGCCCAGCUGCUGGGCACCCUCGGGAGGAGGAGGCUGGGGGAGGGGCUCGGGGGAGGUGUACAGGGCAGGCCUGGGUGGCCGCUCCCUGCUGCACCGGGAGGCCCUGCCCAGUCCUUCUCUCCAGAUCGAAGUUGCAAGGAAACGGCAUUCUUUUCUCAUUAAAAAUUCAUCUCGGCCUGGACGGCGACCAGCCGCGACACCACUGCUCUCCACCAGCGUCCCCGCCGUCUCCUCUCCAGCUCGCUCUGCCACGUGCUUCGUGAUCUGGGUGGAGGACCCCUCCCAGGCCCCCCUCCCACAUCCUCAGGGUUGA